Long non-coding RNA from Felis catus (domestic cat), 3730 nucleotides. RefSeq lists it as uncharacterized. Lineage: Eukaryota; Metazoa; Chordata; Mammalia; Carnivora; Felidae. The transcript has 2 exons. The record is from RefSeq and is a predicted model, not a curated record.
UUGACAAUAAAUUUCAUAUUUAAAAAAAAUAAUAAAAAGAUAAAACUGUGAAAAAAAAGAAUAUAAAUAAGUACAUACAUACAUACAUACAUACAUACAUACAUACAUACAUACAUACAUAAAAUGGGUUUCCAAAAGGGAGUUUUCAGAUGUGCUUCCCAGCGCAUGCUUUUCCCUCUCAGGCUAGGGAUUGCAGGGCUGGGAGGAGGGAGGAAUGGGAGACAUAAGAGAUGAUUCACUGAGUUGUUUUCAAAGCUAUCCUUGUCUCCUAACUUUAUCCAUGAUGUUGGGUAGAAUGACCGACAAGUGCUCAGAAGGCUUUUGUAACUUCCAUAAGUAUAAAGGUUUGCAAUAAGCUUUUGUAUUUUUGGCUAAGGCAUCAGAGAUCCCUAGAGAUAGUAUUCCUGGUGUUGUGUUAAUAUCUGACUCUUAGGAAUUUGCAGUAUUGGGGAUAGCUCUCCAAAGAGAUAAUUAUGAAAUAACAUGACACGUGCAAUAGCAAAAGUCCAAUGCAACUGUAUGGAAGUAAUUCAGAGGAGGGAAUUCCUUACUUUGGAAGACUUUAAUGUAUGAAUAGAAACUUACCAGGUGAGCAGAACAGAGUUCACUAGGAAACAAACAAACAAAACCAUGAAAUUUAAGAAGUACAUGAAGAGAAAACUUAGUAAGUGGUGCUUUAUUACUUUCAAGAUAUUAAGGCUGCAUUCUUGGAUUCCCGAGACUUGAAAAGAACAUGAGGCAACAUGUGAAAAGCACAUUAUUGGCACUUCCUAAACAUUAAUUGAAUGACUGGAAGCCAAUUCCGUACUUCCAAACUGAACUUUUUGGGUAAAAUAUAUUUUUUUCGGUAUAUGCAAAGAACCACUGCAAUGUCUAACACACAAUAGAUCCCCCCAAAUAUAAGCAGCAGCAUGGCAUCUAACACACAAUAGACCCCCCCCCCAAAUAUAAGCAGCAGCACUUUUUCAUGGUGGAAGCUGUGUGAUCAUUGGAAGUAUUUUGCUCCACAAUUCUCAUGCCUGUCACUGUGUCAAGAGAAUUGUAGGCGAUGCAUUUCGGAAAUCAUGUUUCAUAUUUGCCUUGGGAUGACUUGGAAGAGGAGCAUUUUUGCAUGUAAAUGGAUUGGUUACUGCCUUUUGGGGGCAAUUUUUAUUUAUAUUAUCAAGUUAACUCCUUCCUACACUUUGCUAGCUUAAAAAUACAGGCAAGCACUGAGCAAUAAAAUAAAAUUAUAUUUUUGUGUGACUUUAAUUGCUGCACAAAUUAGGUUUCAGGGCUCAUUGUUUGUGAGAGUUGGGAAUAGCCUGUCAAUAUCAUUUGUCUAGAGGUUAUGGUUCACAUUUCAAAGCUUCAUUUAAUUGGAAGUACAAUAGAGAGCAGUUUGAAGUGGUCUGGCUCUUACAAGCUGAAGGAUUUGAAGAAAUGAGUUGAAGAACAGACCUGUCCUUGUGGUGACAAUGAUGGCUUGCCAGGAGCAGGCACAGUCCGAGUGGGUUUUCUUAGGGAGGUGCUGGGUUGUUGCUGAUACUCAUUGAAACUCUGGGCACAUAGUUGUGAUGUGACUGACUGGCUCUGCCAGAGUCAACUUCCUUUUUUUUAAUGAUUUUAAUUUUUUUUUAUGUUUAUUUUUUAGAGAGAGAGAAACAGAGCAUGAGUAGGGGAGGGGCAGAGAGAGAGAGGGAGACACAGAAUCUGAAGCAGUCUCCACGCUCUGAGCUGUCAGCACAGAGCCCAAGACGGGGCUCAAACCCACGAACAGUGAGAUCAUGACCUGCGCUUAAGUCGGAUGCUUAACCAACUGAGCCACCCAGGUGCCCCCAGAGUCAACUUCUUUACCAAUGGAUAAUGUAAAAAUAACUGGUUUAAACAGGACUUGCCAUGGAAUCCCAUAUGGUGAUCGCCUCUGGUCCUGUGGGUGUCCUCACCUUGUGGCUCCUUAUCUGGGCCCAUUCAGACCUGUUGGGCCCCCUUUCAAGCCCUCAAACUCAUUCUGCUCUGCCUCUCUCCCCUUUCAUACCUCAGAGCGUGACCCUCAGGAACUGACUCCCUAUAUCUCUGGAACCCCCAUUUCCUACAUCCUUUCCUGGAUGUACUGCAUCUACUCAUCUUGAUCUUGGUUCUCUCUUGCACAGCAAACCCUCCAUUCUUCCCCCUCUUCUCUGGCUUGCCCUGUUCUGUUGCAAUAUAAUCCCUGUUGUAACAAGAGACCAGGACCACAGAUUAUCCGUGAAUCUGUGAGCAGAAAGAGCAGAGAAAGGAACGGCAUCGAAUGUUAACUAUUUUAUAAAACAUAGAUUUAAUCUCUACCAACUGCUGUGAAAUUGGUUCUCUUAUUGAGAAUAUCAGAAACUAUUUUUUUUUUCUCGAAAGGUAGAUUACUUGUGUGUGAAAUUGAUAUGUGUUUCAGAAUUGAAAGAGGUUUACUCAUGCGUUAGAUCUGGAAACCAAGAAGAAUGUGAUAACAGCCCCGAAGCUUCCCUUUUCCUGAUGGUGAAGAAGCUGUUUCUCAUUUUGUGUCACCUAAAGAAUACCCUGCCUUUGGCUCAGUAGCUUUUUGCCACCAUAUUGCCAGUGGACAUGCUUGGCAAAGCUGAGUUAAGGAUUUUGGCAUUUUCAUUUUUCCUUUUGGCAUGAUUUUUCAUCAGCCUGCAUUUCUGGAAUGCCUUUCCCUGGUAUAUUUGGAAAAUUCAAGCUGGCAAGAUGAUAAGCUUUCAGAAUUUCACCAACUAUUCCUUUGAAGGCACUCCAGAAUUAUAAGAGAUGCAUGAUAUUGGGCCUUGUUCUUCUGGCCUCCGUGUUGUUCUCAGGUCAGCCCACCCCAUUUGCCCAGCUUUAAUCACACCUCAAGGACUUCCAAACUUCAACUCUCCAACCCUGUGAAUGCCAGUCAUGGUCACGCAUCCGAGGUCAACGUCUGGAAGAGGAAAGAAUAGAAGAUCUAUUCACAAACAUGUUUGCAUUUUGUAGAUCUGGUUUUAUCUUGGUGUUUGUAGGUCUUGUUUAUAUUGUAGGCAUUUUGAAGGAGAAUACAAAAAUGGCCAAGUCCAGGGAAAUAAACCUACUCCUAUUAAUGUCUCAUGAAUAUGAGUUACGAAAUGGAACUCUCCCUUAGGAUGCUAUUGGAAUCAUCCCAGCUGCUUCAGCAACUCGCUUGUAGGAGCUCUGAGCCUGUGGUGUAGUAAACUGCUUGUGGUACUUCACAGACACCUGACUUUGAAUCCUGAGUUGCACCCUUACUGGAUGGUGACUGUAGAUGCACUACUUAAAAGUUGUAGGUCCCAGUUUCCCUUUUUGGAAAAUGGGCAUUUUUAAUGGUAUUGGCCCAUCAUAAGUACUGCAUAUACAUUUGCUAUUAUUUCUCUCAUCCUCCCCCAGAUGUCAGCACUGUAUCACUGUAUCAUACAAUCUUUAGCAUCCAGGGACCUAAAGAUAGAGUGCCAUUAAGCAGACUUGGUAAGUUCUGCUUAUGGUCAUCUCCCAAUAAGGGUGAGGGAAAGAGAAGCAUCUACCUUUUUGUAUGAGGAUUUUUCUAUGGAAUAUUGUUAUGAUUAUCUCCCCAUGGGGAUAAAAGGAUACAUAAAAGGUAUUCUGGCCAUGUUUAGUUGAAGUUUUGCAUAUGUUUUCAUUUUAAAAUGCAUCAUGUAAAAAAAAAUCAGAGAUAACGAUCUACUAGUUAACCCAACUAACUAAAGAAAUACGUCUCUUGAAUAAAAUAAAACAGUUGAACUGA